Quercus lobata is the source of this 796-nucleotide long non-coding RNA. RefSeq lists it as uncharacterized. Lineage: Eukaryota; Viridiplantae; Streptophyta; Magnoliopsida; Fagales; Fagaceae. The transcript has 4 exons. The record is from RefSeq and is a predicted model, not a curated record.
UUAUCUUCUUGUAACAUGAAUGAUAAGGGUAAUUCUUGAAGUCUAAGUAAAGGUGAUGGACCGGGUUUAUGAAUAAGGUUUAUGAGUGUUUUUUACUACAUGUCCGGGACAAAGCUCAACUUCACUGGAACGGGUAACACUAUUAAAGGAAAGGAGAUUAGCAAAUGGGUUCACAAGCUUUGAAUAUGACCUUUGUUUUCGUUCAGUUCACCUCCAAGACGAGCUCGUAGUCCUCUUAGAAGGUCUCCUAUGAGUCGUACAACUGCUCGCUUACGACGGAGCAUGCCUUUCCUUGCGGGGGUGGUGUUUACAAUAGAGGGCGAGCACCAAUCGGAAGAUGUGAGCGGUCAUCAUCCUACUUUGGAUCACCUAGUCCACGCAAGUUACCUCGGAGAUCAAGGAGUCGUAGCCAAUGAGGCCCAUUAAAGGAAGAAGCAGUAGCAACAGCAGCCGCAGUAGUUUGCCCCUGCUGCCUCGUAAACCAUAGGUAAGCACUGCCUCUCUAUAUCCCCAAAUCCCCCUUGCCCUCCCCUCCCCACUCCUCCCCUGCCUUUCCCCCUCCCAUUUUCCAAAAAAAGAAUCUGAGUUAUGUAUGAUGUAAUGUCGAGGUGGUAUUGAAUAUGAGAACAAGAUAUUGUGGCUGUAAUAUGCUCCUAAUUGUAGCAUUUAGGUUUGUCUCAGUUAUGGUGACCAUUAGGUUUGUCUCAUUUAUGUUGGAGGCAAUGUUAAGCACUGGUUAUUUGCUGUUUAUUUUUUCAAAAAUUAUUUAAGCUAAACAUUCUGAUGGAAGAAACAA